RNAcentral lists this transfer RNA (90 nucleotides) under Butyrivibrio hungatei. RNAcentral's name for it is "tRNA_Ser_CGA". It matches the Rfam family "tRNA". From Rfam's summary of the family: Transfer RNA (tRNA) molecules are approximately 80 nucleotides in length. Their secondary structure includes four short double-helical elements and three loops (D, anti-codon, and T loops). Further hydrogen bonds mediate the characteristic L-shaped molecular structure. tRNAs have two regions of fundamental functional importance: the anti-codon, which is responsible for specific mRNA codon recognition, and the 3' end, to which the tRNAs corresponding amino acid is attached (by aminoacyl-tRNA synthetases). tRNAs cope with the degeneracy of the genetic code in two manners: having more than one tRNA (with a specific anti-codon) for a particular amino acid; and 'wobble' base-pairing, i.e. permitting non-standard base-pairing at the 3rd anti-codon position. Lineage: Bacteria; Bacillati; Bacillota; Clostridia; Lachnospirales; Lachnospiraceae. The record is from RNAcentral.
GGAGUCGUAUCAAAGUGGUCGUAAUGAGGCGCACUCGAAAUGCGUUUGUCCUUUUUGGGCACGAGGGUUCGAAUCCCUCCGACUCCGCUA